UACGAAGGGGGCUAGCGCUGCUCGGAAUCACUGGGCGUAAAGGGUGCGUAGGCGGGUCUUUAAGUCAGGGGUGAAAUCCUGGAGCUCAACUCCAGAACUGCCUUUGAUACUGAGGAUCUUGAGUUCGGGAGAGGUGAGUGGAACUGCGAGUGUAGAGGUGAAAUUCGUAGAUAUUCGCAAGAACACCAGUGGCGAAGGCGGCUCACUGGCCCGAUACUGACGCUGAGGCACGAAAAGCGUGGGGGAGCAAACAGG
RNAcentral lists this ribosomal RNA (255 nucleotides) under uncultured bacterium. RNAcentral's name for it is "partial 16S ribosomal RNA". It matches the Rfam family "Bacterial small subunit ribosomal RNA", at positions 524 to 776 of the family's 1533-position model. The record is from RNAcentral.